GACGAACGCUGGCGGCGUGCUUAACACAUGCAAGUCGAACGGAAAGGCCCUGCUUUUGUGGGGUGCUCGAGUGGCGAACGGGUGAGUAACACGUGAGUAACCUGCCCUUGACUUUGGGAUAACUUCAGGAAACUGGGGCUAAUACCGGAUAGGAGCUCCUGCUGCAUGGUGGGGGUGGGAAAGUUUCGGCGGUUGGGGAUGUACUCGCGGCUUAUCAGCUUGUUGGUGGGGUAGUGGCUUACCAAGGCUUUGACGGGUAGCCGGCCUGAGAGGGUGACCGGACCCAUUGGGACUGAGAUACGGCCCAGACUCCUACGGGAGGCAGCAGUGCGGAAUAUUGCACAAUGGGCGGAAGCCUGAUGCAGCAACGCCGCGUGCGGGAUGACGGCCUUCGGGUUGUAAACCGCUUUCGCCUGUGACGAAGCGUGAGUGACGGUAAUGGGUAAAGAAGCACCGGCUAACUACGUG
Molecule: ribosomal RNA, 468 nt
Filed under: uncultured bacterium
Lineage: Bacteria
Description: partial 16S ribosomal RNA
Rfam family: Bacterial small subunit ribosomal RNA
Source: RNAcentral